GGACGAACGCGUGGCGGCGUGCCUAACACAUGCAAGUCGAGCGGGACUUACGACUGAUUGAAGACUUCGGUUGGAAAUGAAGAUGUAAAGUCGUAGCGGCGGACGGGUGAGUAACGCGUGAGCAACCUGUCCCUUACAGGGGGAUAACACAGCGAAAGUUGUACUAAUACCGCAUGAGACCACAGUAUCACAUGGUACAGGGGUCAAAGGAGCAAUCCGGUAAGGGGUGGGCUCGCGUCCGAUUAGAUAGUUGGUGAGGUAACGGCCCACCAAGUCGACGAUCGGUAGCCGACCUGAGAGGGUGAUCGGCCACAUUGGGACUGAGACACGGCCCAAACUCCUACGGGAGGCAGCAGUGGGGAAUAUUGGGCAAUGGGGGAAACCCUGACCCAGCAACGCCGCGUGAGGGAAGAAGGUUUUCGGAUCGUAAACCUCUGUCCUUGGUGAAGAGGAAGAGACGGUAGCCAAGGAGGAAGCCCCGGCUAACUACGUGCCAGCAGCUGC
RNAcentral lists this ribosomal RNA (504 nucleotides) under uncultured bacterium. RNAcentral's name for it is "bacterial SSU rRNA". It matches the Rfam family "Bacterial small subunit ribosomal RNA", at positions 27 to 518 of the family's 1533-position model. The record is from RNAcentral.